This 390-nucleotide unclassified non-coding RNA is filed under the name soil metagenome. Its description in RNAcentral is "partial contains 5.8S ribosomal RNA, internal transcribed spacer 2, and large subunit ribosomal RNA". The stretch from base 4 to 121 matches the Rfam family "5.8S ribosomal RNA", at positions 39 to 154 of the family's 154-position model. The record is from RNAcentral.
GAUAAGAACGUAGCGAAAUGCGAUACUUGGUGUGAAUUGCAGAAUCCCGUGAACCAUCGAGUCUUUGAACGCAAGUUGCGCCCGAAGCCACUAGGCCGAGGGCACGCCUGCCUGGGCGUCACACGCCGUUGCCCCCCCAUCUACUCCUUCGGGAUUGCGGGGGGGCGGAUGAUGGCCUCCUGUGCGCCUAGCCGCGCGGUUGGCAUAAAUACCAAGUCCUCGGCGACGCACGCCACGACAAUCGGUGGUUGCGAAACCUCGGUUGCCCGUCGUGUGCGUUCGUCGCGCAUCGAGGGCUCGAAAAAAUGCUCGGCUCCGGCUGGGCUUUCAACGCGACCCCAGGUCAGGCGGGGUUACCCGCUGAAUUUAAGCAUAUCAAUAAGCGGAGGA